Molecule: ribosomal RNA, 225 nt
Filed under: Klebsiella pneumoniae
Lineage: Bacteria; Pseudomonadati; Pseudomonadota; Gammaproteobacteria; Enterobacterales; Enterobacteriaceae
Also listed under: 1 other name
Description: partial 16S ribosomal RNA
Rfam family: Bacterial small subunit ribosomal RNA
Source: RNAcentral
GAAUAUUGCACAAUGGGCGCAAGCCUGAUGCAGCCAUGCCGCGUGUGUGAAGAAGGCCUUCGGGUUGUAAAGCACUUUCAGCGGGGAGGAAGGCGGUGAGGUUAAUAACCUCACCGAUUGACGUUACCCGCAGAAGAAGCACCGGCUAACUCCGUGCCAGCAGCCGCGGUAAUACGGAGGGUGCAAGCGUUAAUCGGAAUUACUGGGCGUAAAGCGCACGCAGGC